CUUGCACUUGCUCCACACAUUUGUUCUUGUCAGUCACAGGCAAGAUGGAAAACGCUCUGCUGAUGACUCUUACGGUGCUCCUGCUCCUUGGAGUUCAAGGAAUCUCAGCUCAGUCCUCGAUCAACAACAUCUCAACCCCCUCAACCCCACGACCCACUAGUGCUACAACCUCCACUACCCUAUGGGCCACAUGUCCGAAAAUCAUAGAAUAUAUUACUAAGUCUGAUCUGUUCCGGCUGAAGGUUAUAUGGAAGGUCAGUCCAUGUGAAGGUCAGCUGUAUGUGUAUUCUCAUGAGCGUCAAGGGCCUUUGUGCUCUAGCAGCGACAUCUCAGUCAGCUGGUGGACUGAAGUGUGUAAGGACAGAAGAUGUGGAGACUUCAAGGGCUUUAAGCACACUUCAAGCCAAGCUAAAUGUCUCAAGCUCACAACAAAUAUGACAUUCAUCAAUACUACUAAGUGCAACGGCCUGCACAUCAUGUGCCAAGGUGUGUGAACAGUUUAUAUAUGACUCGGUAUGCUGAAAUGUUUCUCUUGAUGUUUUUGUUUCUUAUCAGGUUCCGUGACUCUGUUUAGUAUGCUGUACAUUUUGAAUAACACAUUAUAUUCUUUUCCCCCCACAUUUUUUUUUCAGAUCCUCUAGGAACAGAGUUGGCUGCUUAUAAAGCAGUAACUGGCAUAUUAAUUUUCUUGAUCUUGGGUGUCAUUCUGGUUCAGUUCAGUCGGCCCACGUACAAAGCCAUCCGCAAAAGAUGUGAGUCAG
This 761-nucleotide long non-coding RNA is filed under the name Sinocyclocheilus anshuiensis. RNAcentral's name for it is "lncRNA (ENSSANG00000024093.1)". The record is from RNAcentral. Lineage: Eukaryota; Metazoa; Chordata; Actinopteri; Cypriniformes; Cyprinidae.